UCUUCUCUGGCUGAACAUGAAGAAAAUCCUUCUCAUCUGUGGCCAGGACGAAGCGAUGGCUAAGCUCCCUCUGUUCUCUCCCUGAUCUUCUCGCUCAAUCUUUUCUCCACCCUCUGAGAAUUUACCUCAGAAGUCAAUCCAUCACUCUGCCUCUCACCUUGUGUGCAGCUCUUGCGAUCAUAUCCUCUACAUUCCCAUCAACUAUUUUCUCGUUUCGUACUUCGAUAUGGGAAUCAAAGGUGUUGCUCUUAGUGAGGUGUGGUCUAAUUACAACCUCGUGGCUUCCCUGAUCAUAACAUCAUCGUCUCUGGGGUCCACAAAAAAACCUGGGGAGGGAUUUCAGUGAAGUGUUUCUGAGAAUUGUGGUAGCAUGAGAUCAUGAUCUUGCUUUGUGGAUUGUUAAUAAAUCUGAGAGCUACCGUUGAUUCAAUGGGAGUUUUAAUUCAAACCACCGCUUUAAUCUACAUAUUUCAUUCUUCCUUAAGCUUCAGUGUGUCCACGAGAGUCUGCAAUGAAAUCGGCGGGAACAACCCGAAAAGGGAGUGGUGUCUCAAAUAACAGGUUUUAAUCCUAUGAUUCAAAGAUGUUGCCACUGAAUUCGGGGUUGAGGGCUUGUUGAUCACCUCCCUGCUGCUGCACAAAGCUACAAUAUAAUUAGUAUCAUGAUCGAAUCCUUUGUGUGUUCAUGCGCACGCAUGUGUGUGCUUAAAAUAUGAAAUGAGUAUGCAUGCCUGGCUCCAAGAUUGUUCAAGAGGUGCGUUUUCUUCAACAUGGUAUGGGCCAGAAGAGUUAGAAUUUGGAACCUGGUCCGCAGAAGGGUCGGAAACUUUGUUUACAGCAGUGUCCAGGCCUUGGUCCGCAGCAGUGGGGUUUAUUUGAUUCGGAGUUGCGUCCGGCACUUGAACUGGAUAAACAUAAACAAUCUUCCUUGAUUUCAGCUUUGCUUGGCUUGUCCUCCUCGACCCCGAAUUCAGAGGCAACGUCUUUGAAUCAGAGGACUAAAACCUGUUACUUGAGACACCACUCCCUUUUCGGGUUGCUGGCGCCGAUGUCAUUGCCGACUCCCGUGGAAACACUGAAGCUUAAGGAAGAAGGAAAUAUGCAGAUUAAAGCGGCGGUUUGAUUUAAAACUCCCAUUGAAGCAACGGUGGCUCUCAGAUUUAUUAACAAUCCACAAGGCAAGAUCAUGAUCUCAUACCACCACCAUUCUAAACACACAGAAAUGUAGCUGGGCACUACUAAAUUUAGAAGCGUCCUCCUUUCUCUGAAACACUCCAUUGACAUCCCUCCCCAGGUUUUUCUGUAGACCCCAGAGAAGAUGAUGUAUAAGAUCAGGAAAGCUACGAGUUUGAAGUUAGAUCAAACCCCACUAAAAACAACACCUUUGAUUGCCAAAUCAAGGUGCGAAACGAGAAAAUUGUUUAUGGGAAUGUAGGGGAUAGGCAGAGUGAUGGAUUGACUUCUGAGGUAAAUUCUCAAAGGGUGGAGAAAAGAUUGAGUGAGAAGAUCAGGGAGAGAAUACAACUGAGCUUCGGCAGCGAUCGUUUCAUACUGGCCGCAGAUGAGGAUGAUUUUCUUCAUGUUCAGCCAGAGAAGAGAAAUGGGUAAGGAUGUAAAUAGUAAGAGGAGGACUGUCCUCUGCAAAGAGAGGCCGAGCAGAGUGUGUUUUCUGGCGCCAAAAGCUUGGCCGCAGAUGAGUUGCAUUCCCAUGGCGAGGCCGGAGAGUAUGGAGUAACCGGUUAUGUUGGCGUAGCCAAUGGCAAGGGACCUGCCCGCUAAGGCGAGCUCGCCAUGGCGGCCGAGGAAGAGCAUGAAGAUGACUGACCUUGAGUAAAGCAACAGGCCCGGUAAGUAUCAUUGGGAAAGCUACGACAGCUAUGGAAUUGGCUUCUUUCAAAGCCAAUGAAAAAUGGGAUUCUUUGUGGGGAUUGAACUGUAACUUCGGUACUUGUUCUGGUUGGGAUGUUAUGGUUUUGGAGAUCAAUGGGGAAGUUAGGGUUUUGGGGUCCUCCGAGUCUUUGAUGGAGAUAAGGCGAUGAUGGUCUGAACUGCCAUUGCAGCGGAGAGGACAAAAUUUGAUGUUGGAUAGUAGUUAAUGUAAUGGAUAGCUCCAAAGAAAACGUCAUUGUUCAUCCGCGUAUGCAACACCAAACGGAGAAACUUACUUACCAUAUCCGAAAUGGUAAAAACUCUGAUGUUUUAACUUUGGUUUUUCCUCUUAUGAUUCGUCAGCAAACCAUAUGAGAGCUGACGCAACAGAGACUUUGUGGUAUGAAGCUGAACGUAGUAUAUAAGAUUACGUGCACGCUUGUGUUAAGAUUAAUUUCCAAUUGCAUCAAGAAAUUCACAACGCAAACUGCCUAUUAACUAAAACACGAGCUGAGGCCGCCUUCAUCAACUCUGGCGGAGAAGGUGGAGGAGGACAAGUAAAUCAAGUGCAUCAAAUGCAAGAAGUUCAGUCCUUGGUUUAUUUGAUUCCUUAUUGUUUGCAAAAGAAUAAAAAGGUUACCAAAAUAUUGAUCUUCAUGUCGAUUAAGUCCAAUGCAAAUUAGCUACAAAUUGCAUUGUAUCGUUUUCCAUUUUGUGUAGUGGACGUUGUAAGAUUAGUUCGGAUGCAUGAAUAACCAAAUUCACUACCUCGAAACGUACUUUUAUUACAAGAGGAUACUUUGAAUUACUCUAAUUUAGAUGGAGAGGGAUUCGAAGUUGAUUAAAAGAGGAUGAACACAUUGCUGUAGUGAACUGAUAUAACUUACAUUUGCAUAUAUUACAGAGUAACAUAAAGUAUAUGAUGUCAAAAUUGGCUGAUACCAACGGACCGAAGUUCCAUUUUGGUUAAAGUGUUAUCAAUUGUUACAAUUCGACAUUAGUUUAUUAAUUGUCGCAAUUUAAUUAGCACGCGAUAUGCAUAUGCCUGCUGUUAAGAUACUCCAAUUUAGCCUCAUGUAUAUUACUCCCGACAAUUAAAUUACAAUGAGUCAAAUCACAACCAAAUUUUUUUUUUUUUUUAAAAAAGGAUAACUGGUAUGGUUAUUUACUCAUUUUGGGUCCGAAAAAGUUAGGAAAAAUUUCAAACAGACUUAUCAGUUCGGAGUUUCGAAAUCGAAACCUCCCAACUUAAUCAAUCGAAGCCCAAAGGCCCAAAAGUGAAAUAAUAUCAUUUUUGCGAUAAUUUGAAUCUGCAGAGAUAAUUUGGAAUCCCGAUAUAACUCAAGUGGAUUGUAAAAUAUCAUUUUUGCCCCUGAUAUUAAAUAGUUGUGCAUGUAAGUGUGAAAGGGCCACGUUUACAAAUAAUAUAAAGUACAGGGCCCUUUUCACAAAUAUCAAAAACGUUGUUUUCUUUUUCUCUACUCUUUAUUUAUUUAUUCCACUCACGAGGGCUCUCCGUUCGGUCAAAUCGAAGAAAGUAUCACCUACUUCCUUCACGUCGCUCGCUUGCUACGGUUCGAGUCUGAAGCUCCAUUGCUUCCGAAGAGAAGGUACGAAGCUCUCUGAAACCUGAAUCAUAAUUGUACGUGUCUCAAUUUUCCGUUUGGUUCCCGAGAAAAUUCGUAAAGAAACCAAAAUCUUUUUUCUGCAGUUCAAUUUGUUAUCUUUCGUGCCGUUUCUGGAAAAUAAAUGGAGAUCUGACUUAUAGGGAUUCUGUAGUUGUAGAUCUGAUUGCUCUGCGACUUAGGUGUUUGUAUUUUUUGUUUCUUUGCUUAAUUUAUUGAAAUUUGUGGAUUUUUUAGGGUUAAUUAUCCAAUUGGUUAUCUUUUUUUGGUUAUUAAUUUGGAUUUGUGUGUUCUUACAUAAUUUUCUUUGGUUAAUUUUGAGACCGAGAUCUUGUUUAGUGCAAUUCUUAGCUGAAUUUUUUUUUUCUUUAGCUAAAUUAGGUUACGCAUAGCUAAAGUACACAGGGAAUAUCAGUGAAUUUGUUUGUAGGCAUUGAUUAUUUAUUUAUUUAUUAUUAUUUGUGAUAUUUCUUGUGAUUUGGUAUAGCGGUUCUUGUAUAAGAUAUGACUAGUGCUUUGUAAUUAAAAAAAAAAAAUUAUUUGUGAUAUUUCUUGUGAUUUGGAACUUGGUGAAUGUAAUUGUGUAUUUAGCGGUUCCUGUAUAAGAUAUAACCAGUGCUUUGUAAUUUUUUUUAAAAAUUAUUUGUGAUAUUUCUUGUGAUUUGGAACUUGGUGAAUGUAAUUGUGAAUUUAGCGGUUCUUGUAUAAGAUAUGACCAGUGCUUUGUAAUUUUUUUUUUUAUUAUUUGUGAUAUUUCUUGUGAUUUGGAACUUGGUGAAUGUAAUUGUGAAUUUAGCGGUUUUUGUAUAAGAUAUGACCAGUGCUUUGUAAUCUUUUCGUAUGAACGUAACAUUUUUAUAUCUUACAUUUACGCACCACGUUCUUUUUCACAAUUGAAAGAAUGUUUGGUGUUGAGUGGUGUUCUUUGAAAUUAUGUGCCCUUUGUUUAUGUGAUGUGAAAUUUAGUAAUGUUGGGUUUUCUUGUUCAUUAUUAUCAUAUGCAUAUUCUUUUCUUUUCUUUUUUUUAACAGAAUAUGCAUAUUCUUUGAUAGACUGGUCUUUUGCUCCACUGCAUCACGUAAGGUGUGAAAGAUUGUUUUCAUGAUUGAUAACAAUUUAUUUUCAUUUAUGCCAGGAAAUGAAGCCGAUUUUUUGUGGGAAUUUUGAAUAUGAUGCUCGACAGAAUGAAUUGGAGCGGCUGUUUGGUAGAUAUGGGAAAGUUGAUAGGGUCGAUAUGAAGUCUGGUGAGUUCACCUUUUAGUUCUCUGUCUCUGUAUUGUGCUUAUUUCACUUGUGGCACCGACAUUUAAUCCUCUCCCUCACGUGAUGCAUCUGUUCUCCUCAAACAUAUUCAAAACAUCCUCUACUUCACAUGGCAAAUCACUAUGAAGCUGGAUAGUCAGCUCAGAUCUUGUAUGAGAUUUCAUCCUCUAGUUUUGAUCCUGAAAGAGUAAUAAGUCAUUUUAUUUCAUUUGAACUAAUGAAUUGAAACCCAAAAUUAGGACUGAUUUCUAAGCUCACAUGGGCGAACAAUAUAUAUCUGUUUCAAAAUUUUACCACACUUACUGAUUAGAUUUGUGGUAAGAUUUGAGGUGUGAAAGUGAUUUUAGUGAUUUUGGUAAAUAAAUUAUUUCUAAUUCUUUUGGGAUCAAAAUUAAAGGAUGAAUUAUAGUCAGCAUUAUUGACCAAAAAAAAAAAAAAUCUAAUAUGGCAUCUUCAAAAUUUUCAAUUUACAUGUUCUAGAUUCCGCAAUCUUGCAUUCCUAUUUCAUCCAGCUUUGAGUUGGUUAUUUAAAGGCAACUUUGUCUAGAUUUAUCAUGCAUUGAGGUUCUUGGUUUACUAAUUUGAUUUUGGAGGUUUGAGGGAUGGACAUCACUAUAAUUUGUUACUUUGUUCAAAUUAUUGUCUCUGUGAGGGGUCUGUUGAAGACAAGAAAACACUGGAUUAAAAUUGUGCAUGCAUGUAAUCUGCAGUGAAAUAAACUUAUAGUAACAAUCAUAUAUCCCCCUGCGAGAAUCAAAACUGGGUCUUACAGCGGAAAGGAAAUUCAACCACGGCAUGUCUGCAUCUGUAACUGUGGCACCUCGGAUGUGCUGUUUCAUCAGCAGUUUGACCGAAUAAUCAUCUGGCUACAUUUCUCAGUGGCAGCAGUCUUCCUUGUUGAGUUACUGUGGGGGUUCCGGAUACGUUUAAGAAAGAGCAUGUAUUUUUUGGCACAUAAACCCCCAUACUCAACAUUUUCUUUGACGCAGGAUUAUCUUGGGAUAACCAUAAUCCUCCAGGCUAGUGGAUGGGCUCUUCAGAAUUCUGUUUCUUACUUGUGAUGAGCUUCCUCUUCUUGUUUUCAAGAAGAGUCACUCUGAUCGGCAAUUGCACUACCGCCAUCCCACAUUUUCCACAGUCACAAUUGCCUUUCAUUCCUCAUGACCUUCGCCCAGCCCUCAAUCACAAUUGAAACACUGCCAUCCCAUGGCAGGGGCAGCCGAUUAGAUGGAGAAGGCACUCUCUUUACAUUGACCCACCAUGAGACAUCCAUUUUUGGAUUCUUGUCCCUUGACAUCACUUAGUUCAUAUUGCAAGGUCUGUUACUAUUUUUAUUGGUCCCUUAGUUUAUAGAUUUCCCGUAGGUUGCCUCACUGUUUAAUUAGGAUAGUAUUUAGGUGGUUUGUAUAUUGUCGAAAGGAGCAAUGCCGUCUCUUAUUGAAGAAUCCUUGUACGGGGGAAUUCUUACCUUUGUUUGGCAAAAAUACAUGGCAUUUGUUGUCAGUUCAGAAUGUUGUACUUACUUCUUUACAGGGUUUGCUUUCAUCUAUAUGGAGGAUGAGAGAGAUGCUGAAUAUGCCAUUAGGGGACUUGACCGAAAAGAAUUUGGUCGAAAAGGACGCAGGCUUCGUGUUGAAUGGACGAAGGUAGCAAAUGUAGGCCAUUUUUAUCACUAUUUAAUUUUGUCACUGUUUGUCAGUUGUUUUUUCAAGUUUGUCCUGGUUUUAGCACUUUUAUGUUUUGUAUUGUAGCAAGAACGUGGUGCUAGAAGACCUGGUGCAUCAAGAAGAUCUUCGACUAAUACAAGACCUUCAAAGACCUUGUUUGUUAUAAAUUUUGAUCCUUAUCACACAAGGACCAAAGAUUUGGAGAGGCAUUUUGAUUCAUAUGGGAAAAUCGUCAGCGUAAGGAUCAGAAGAAAUUUUGCAUUUGUUCAGUAUGAGUCACAAGAGGAUGCUACCAGGGCAUUGGAAGCUACAAACAUGAGGUGGAUAUGUCGUUCUCUCUCUCUCUCUCUCUCUCUCUCUCUCUACUAUAUCGUUGUUCAUUCUUCUGUAUAUUUGUCCAUCUAUUGGCUGAUGAUAUGUGUUUUUGCAGCAAGCUGAUGGAUCGAGUUAUAUCGGUGGAAUAUGCAGUUCGUGAUGACGAUGAAAGAGGAGAUGGAUUUAGCCCUGACCGGAGAAGUCGUGAUAGGUCUCCAGACAGAGGCCGUGAUAGAAGAAGGUCCCCAAGCCCCUACAAAAGAGAGAGAGGUAGCCCUGAUUAUGGCCGAGGCCCUAGCCCUGGUCCCUACAGGAGAGAAAGGGGUAGUCCUGAUUAUGGACGUGCAGCAAGUCCUUAUAGAAGGGAGAGAGUUAGUUCUGACUAUGGCCGUGGGCGCAGCCCAAGUCCAUAUAGGAGGGACAGGUCUGAUCAUGGCCGCGUCUCCAGUCGUAGUCCUAGAAAAGAGAGGGUGAGUGCUGACCGUGUUCAUGAUCGUACCCGUAGUCCUUAUGGAAGAGAGAGGCCUGGGGAUGACAAUGGCCAUGGUCCCAGUCGUAGCUCAUAUAAGAGAGAUAGGGGUAGUCCUGAAAAUGGUCCCAGACGUAGUCCAUAUAAGAGAGAACGGGAUAGUCCAAGGGAUAGUCCUGAAAAUGGCCGUCUCCCAAGCAGUAGUCCAUAUAAGAGAGAGAGGGUCAGUCCUGAAAAUGGUGGUGGCCCCAGCGGUAGUCCUUAUGAAACAGAGAGGGCCAGCCCGGAAAAUGGUCGUGUUGCAAGCCUAAAUUCUGCGCCUGAAGCUAGGGAUAGCCCCAACUAUGGCGGGCCUGAAAGCCCCAUGAAUGAGAGAUAUAGCAGGUUUGAAUUUCAACCCCACUAAUCUGGAUUAUUAACCUUGUUAACCAUCUACUCUUAACUUCUGUUGUUUAACACACGGUCUUUUGUUAACUGCAGCCGUUCACCGCAAGCUGAGGAGGAAUGAUAUUGAAACUUGAUCAGUAGGUUGUAUCGGUGUCUGCUCGUGAGAUGCUAUUCAGUUUGUUGUUCCCCUGAAAACCACCGCGUAAUCAAAUCGUAAUGCAACUUUGUAGUUUCUUGUAGACUUGUUCUUAUUUGUAGCUUUUAGAUUCUUUCUGCUCAAAACGUAAUGAUGGAACUUAUUAUUUUGUUAUUGAAGGAGAGUUGUAACACAGAUUUAGCCGUUUGAUAUUUCGUGUUAUUUUCAAUUUCUUGAUUGAUCCGUAUUUGAAGCAGGUUAUUGUGUAUAUAUUUUUGUCGAUUUGGUUGAUUUCGAGACUUGGGAGCAGCCUCUCCAUAAAUGGGGGUAAGGAUAGCCGACAUUCACCUCUCUCAGACCCUGCGUAAAGCGGGAGCCUUGUGCACUGGGUACGGUUGAUUUAUGUCUACUUCUCGGCCAGCCUUGUGGGAACCUGGUUUUUAGGGUUUGUACUGUUUGUGUUUUAGAUAUGGUGGGGAUAUGAGGUAUAAGGGAAAGGAGGAAGAAGAAUUAAUCAAAUCAAAAUUAAGAAAGUAAAAGCAACUUGAGAUAGGUUUUGAUUUUUAGCUUUCGUUUUGUAUAACUUUCUUUGUUGAUAUCUCUAGAUAUCUUAGUCACUCUUCUAUGUCCUUCAUCUCUUUCAUAUAUCUUCUCUAUUAAUAUAUACACACACACAUAUACACACAUACUAGCCUUCAUGCACGUGCUCGCAGCAAACAUUUUUUGAAUCACGACGUGUUAUGUGUGAUUUACACGUUUUAAAUGUAUUUAUAUACGUAAAUUGAUAAAAGAAAAGUUAAAUAUUUGAAAUAAAUGAGUAAUAUUAGAUUAUGCCAUAAGAAACCUCUCAUAAGUCAAUUAAAGUAGCUGAAUCCACGUAAUAAAAUCGGUAUCUAUUGAAGUUAUAUUAAGAAUAGAGAAAAUAAUAUUUAAUAAACAACUGAUUGAAUCACAUUAUUGCUAUCCCAUUGUGAGGUACUAGUUAUUAAAAAAAAAAAAAGUUGUACAAAAAAAUUUAAUUAUUAAAAAAUACUGUUAAAAUGAUGAAAAUUCCCUUGGCACAUUUGAUGCAUUAUUUUGAGUUGUUUUUGAAGUUUUUUGUUUGAGGGGCAUUUUUGGUGAAGCUUGUGACACCAAAAAACACUAUUCAUUGGGCCAUUGGCUUUAUAUAUAAGGGAAUUUUAACGAAAAACUUUUAGUACUGUUCACUUUAAUGAAAAACUACAUUUUUACACUAAAAAGUCAAUUAUGGUACUAUUCACUUUACCCUUUAUUUUGUCCUUAUCGUUAAAACUCAAAGUUUUCAAGUCAUUUUCAUUAGUUUUCCUUAUAUAUAACUAGUCUUCAUGCACGUUUUAAAUGUAUUUAUAUGCGUAAAUUGACAAAAGGAAAAUCAAAUAUUUGAAGUAAAUGAAUAAUCUUAGAUCAUGCUAGAAGAAACCUCUCAUAAAAUAAUUAAAGCAGUUGAAUUCACAUAAUAAAAUCGGUCUCUAUAAAAUUUACUUCAAGAAUAGAGAAAAUAAUAUUUAAUAAGCAAUUGAUUAAAUCACAUUAUUGUUAGCUCAUUGUGAAGCUAAGCUCAUCCUCUCUUCCUUAGUGUAGAUAAUAUUGUUUGUCAAAAAAAAAAAAUCGUUCGACAACUAAUUUAAUCACAUUAUUAUCCGUGUGCGAAAGACUUUUUUUUUAUAACCGGCAUUACACGUCACUUAAGAUGUUUUUAACGUGUUUAAAAAUAGAGAAAAUAAUAUUUAAUAAACAACUGAUUGAAUCAUAUUAUUGUUAGCUCAUUGUGAGGCUAAGCCCACCCCCUCUCUCUUAGUGUAGAUAAUAUUGUUUGUUAAAAAAAACAAUCAUUUGACAACUAAUUUAAUCACAUUAUUAUCCGCGUGCGAAAGAUAUUUUUUAUAACCGGCAUUACACGCUUCGUAAGAUGUUUUGAAUGUGUUUAAAAAUAGAAAAAUUGAAUCACAUUAUUGGUAGCCUAUUGUGAGGUACUAAUUUAAAACAAAAACAAAAAGCACAAAAAAAAUAAUUAUUAAAAAAUGCACUGUUAAAAUGACGAAAAUGCCCCUGCCUUAUUUGAUGCAUUAUUUUGAGAUGCCUUUGAAGUUUUUGGUCUUGGGGCAUUUUUAUCCAAAUAUUUUUGUUGAAGUUUGGUAACACCAAAAGCACUAUUCACCUUUUGUGUUGGCUUUAUAUAUAAGAAGAUAUGAAAAUUAAUUUCAUUCAUGGAUAAGUCUAAGUGAUUUAAUAUUAUAUAUUAACCAAUUAUACAAGUGUGUAUAUUUUUCCAAAUCAAAAUUAGGUACCGAUGACACUUUACUACAGUGACAUAAAGCAUUAAUGUUUACUCACUUUGGUGGGGAUUUGUUUUCACCUAUCUCCUUUCCGUUAACAUUUAACAAUUUCAUCCACGCGCUAUCGGUUGUUUUAAAACAAAAAAAAAAAAAACCUAAAUUAGGCCUCCGGGCAUAAACGCCGUAUCAGACUUGUUAGUUAUUGGGAGACUGGACGUGGAUGUCUUUAAUCUUCUUUUUUUUCAACACAAGGGAUAGUAAUUAACACUUAAAAGAACGUCAUCAUUCACUCCUUAUAUUUCUUUGAACCAUAAGAUGAGAUGUGCAUGAUGAUUUUUUUUAGUGUCAAUAAAACUCCGUCUCUAAAAUGCUUCGGGCCUAAAUUUUUCCUAUUAUAGCACCAUAGGCUUCUUAAAAGCAAUGCAGGAUGAUCCAAAAAUGUUCCGGCCGGUAGAACUCUAUUCUAAUUUCUAACUAAGUUUUGUUGUCAAUACAAAAAAUCUAACCGGAGAGGGCAUAACUAUGUUUUUAACUCCAUUAGUAUUUUUUUCUUGUACUUUCCUACUUUUCAGCUUAAAAAUUCAAUUAAAAAAUAACUACAGGACGCAAUAAAUGGUAAGAUUGCUUGAAAAUGUCUUGUAAUGUUUUUUGUCGCAAAAGAUUUAUUUUUUUUUUUUACCAGAAACAAUUGAGUGGUAUUUUCUUUAUCAUCACAAACAAAUACAUAGGUGCAAAUCCGGUUCAUAGCUCCAAUGACCAAGAAAUUGAUCUGGAGUGAAUUUGUAUGAACAAACAAGAAGUAAACCCCCUAGAUGGGUACCACAUGCACAAGACUAGCACCCCCUACGUGCAAAAAAAAUUCAAGCCUAGCAUAUGGACAACACAAAUUGGGUGAUGUGGAGCACGUGUGGUCGUUGAGCUUUACACGAGAGGCAACAUGAUCUGAUACCAUGAAGAAGAUUGGGGUUCUAUAAAAUAAUUGGCAAUACGAGAAGUAACUCAAGUACUUAUAAGCACAUGCAAGAUUCCCCAUUUAACCAAAUAUAGGAUUCAUAAUCUUAACAUACUUGUGCCAUUGCUGCCAAGGUUUUAAAAAACGCUAGGCACUAGUCGAACGGCGGACUAGGCAUAUUUAAGUAAACUUAUUAUAUAACGUACAAAUAAGUGUAUUUAUACUUAAAAAUACAUAAUUGCAUCAGGAUACAAAAAUUGAAAAAUAGAAUGACAUAUAGAUUAGAAAAUAUUAUAACAUAUAGAAAGCAUGGGGAACCAAAAUAUAAUGAGUGUUCAUCCAAGCAUUCAACAAGUCUCUUACAAGUUAUAAAAAAAUGCAAAAUGAAAGUUAUUUAUUUUUUUAUGUCUAAGUGAGAGUCGCGACUUAAAUGGGUGUCUAGGCAACUAAGGCAAGUAUAGGAGAGCACCUAGAUUGGCUAAGUGGGCAUUUAAGCAGGUCUAAGCUUCAAACAUCUAAAGAUAAUCGGAACGAUGGUCAUCCACUUAACAUCUAGGCAACGCUAGCGAAAAUUUUUAGAACAACGAUUGUUGCUCAAGUGGGAUCCGCAUCAUCACGAGUCACAAACUUCAUUUGAUUUCCGAAGUUCUUAAAAAAACAUAAAAUCAAUUCUUGUAUCGCAAUAAGAAAUGGAAUUGGAAUCUCAUUAGUUAACUUUCUAGUUUUAUUCUUACAUAUCUUGUUAAAUUUGUUCUCAUCCUUGUAGAUAAAGAUUUGUCCAAAUCAUCGAAUCAAUCAGUCAAACACGUCGAAGCAAAUGACUCUCCCAUUUUCUGACGCGGAAAACAUUCGGAUAAGUUAAAAUAUUUUAUACAUGGAGUGCUGACACGUAUAAAUUAAUUUCCACUCUAAACACUUUGCAUAUUAUGUGUGAACACCAAUCAAGCAAAUUAAUCCCUCGCUGACUCAAUAUUUCACACCCUAUUCUCUGUCUCUUCCCACAUUACCAACCAAAUGGGAAAAUUGCUUUCGGUGAAACAGACAAUAUGCAACAAAGUGGCAUCAAAAAUGGAUUUUAGGGAGAAGCCAAAGUCAAAAAAGGAAUUUUAAGAUGCUUCUCUUCAAAGUGCUUUUUCUUAGUUCAAACCAAAUAUUAUAGAGGUUGAUUAGUUUGAACUGAUGGGAAUAGGGAACAUUUGAGACUGAAACUUUAAGAAACUUAUAUCUAGACAACAUCCCUAAUUCAUUGACCAAUCAAUGCUAACACAUAAAAUUAGAUCCUAACAAAUCUCGAUGUGUACAAAACUCAUAGGAUUUGGAUCCUUAAUUACUUUGCUAGAAUAUGAACGUAUGUUUGGAUUGUGAUGAUACGACUCAUGGCCCCUCAUUAAGCUUAUCAUCUAUUUUGGAUCGACUAAGACAUAUAUUUAUCCCUUUCGACUAAGACAUUUUGGUUAAGCCAGCGGUUUACACGAGAGCUUAUUUGUCAUCACACUAUUGGUCCAAAAUAGCCAAAUUAACUAGAUUAAUUUCUUUAACUUUCUUCUCCUUUGUUUUGUAGUUGUUUUUCCUUUUUUUGUUUGAAUAUGUUUUGUAGUUGUUUUUCCUUUUUGAAAAGAAAUUACAAGAAACAAGACUGGGAUGCAACAACCUUCUUGAUUUUUCUUUUUAUCAUGUAAUGUUGCUUGAUAAUCAUAACCGUCUACUCUCUACACUACCAUUUAAGUUCAAUCUAAACAAAAAAAAGCAAAACCAACAAAACCGGAAAAUCGUUAAAAUUGUUCAAUUAAUUUUGUCUCAAUUUAGUGUUAAAGUUAUAAACAUGAUUCGUUUAUUUAUUGAAUAACCGUUAGAUGACUUAAUAAUUUUAUAAAUUAAUCUGCAUAAAUGGUUAUUAAAAGUUAAUCUAGAAAAUAAACAGUUUAAAUUAUUAUGCAACGUAAAAAAAAAUUAGAAGAGUCGAGAAGGCCGAAAUAAGAUGCUUUCAUUCCUCAAGAAGAUUGACGGUAGAUUGCAUAGGAAUGAGUUCUUCACUAUUACAGCUUUCUUUAGUGUCAAAGUCGGUCAUUGACUCAUUAGUAUCAAGGUCUGAGCUACAGCCUUCUGUAAGUUGGUGGUUUCAUGUUGCUGUCAAAUUUUAUUUUCCGCAAUAACGGAUCCGUGUUAUUGUCUUCGAAUUGUUUGAUUCUGAUUGAUACCUUAGCAGCUAUUUGGAGGUACAAUUAAUGGUAAAAAAAUAAAAGAAAUACGACUCAGUUGAUAUAUAUUGUAAAUUAUGAUUAUCAUUCUAGUUGAAAUUGACCUUCUAAAUUAUUAUUUUUGGUAAAUUAGCCUCUUGAACUAUUUAAAAUCAGUCAAUUAACCUCUUGCUGUCAUAUUGCGGAAUCAAUUCGAUCAAAUUCAAGGGCAAAUUAGUUAUUUCAUCAUCAAUUGUUACUUAUCAGCUAUAACCACCAAUAAAAUUUUGAUACAUGAACACAUAAUAAUUAAAAAACAUAUAGCAUAAUGAGAAAACAUAAAAAAAACCAAACAUUUACAUAACAGACCAUCUCACAUCGUCAUUACACAUUAUUUUAUUUUCAAAUGUCAUAAGUUCAUUGUUGGUUAUAGUUAACAAAUAAGAAUUGAUGAAGGAAAGAGUACUAAUUUUUCUUUGAAUUUGAUCACAUAGUGGAUGAAAUUUACUGUCAAGGGGUCAAUUGACUGAUUUCAAAUAGUUCAGGAGGUCAAUUUUAAUUGGAGUAAUAGUUCAAGCGGUCAAAUGACAGUUUACCCAUAUAUGUAGAUACAUAGAUCGAUAUGUAUAUUUAUGCGCAUAUAUAUAUGUGUGUGUGUGUGUGUUUACGCAUGCGCUUAAUUCGUCUAUCUAAACAAAACAAAACAAAAAAUCGUCGCUCCAUAGUCAUAACAAAAUUAUAGAGGAGCUAAUUAGAAAUUUUGUGACGAUUGAUCGAGAGAAAUGCUAAAGAGACACUCUCAAAGUGAGAGGUGAGACUUUUUAUAGAUCCCUCAUCUCACAAUUUAAUGUCAAUUCACUUAUCAAUAUUAUAAAAUAUUAUGUUAAAAAUACGAGAUGACAAAAUUUUUAUAAAGAGCCUCAAUUUAAAAAGAACCUACAAAACAUUCUCAUUCAUCGAACUCUCCAUUUUGUUGUUAUUCAUGAGAAAUGUUGAUGUUAACCAUAUAGUCCAAGUUCCUUUUGCAAAGCCGAAUAAAUUUUGGCAUUCAUGACUUUUGUUCAUUGUGUUCUAGAACUUUGCAUCCAAUUUUUCAGCUCAAAGAUAUUUAGUCGGUUGUGGACUUAGUUAGCCAGUCAUGCACUGUCAUCAUUACGGCGUACGGUUUGCUUUGAUGAAUUGGAUUCAUUGAGUUCCACCGUGGAGGCAUGUAUCCGCGUAGAGUGAAUGAGGAUUCAGAUCCUUUUUGUAAAGAUUUUGAAGAUCUUUCAAUCACGUUUGUUCAUUGUAUAUCGUGUAGUUAGAAAUAUUAUAAUUUUUUAAUUUAAAAUUCAAUAUAAACAAUGUUUGACAAAAAUUAAUUAUACGGUAUACGAUGAACUGACGUGAUUAGAAAAUCUUCAGAAUCGUCGAAAAGAGGAUCCGGAUCAUUCGUGUAGAGUAAGCUCAAACAGAAAACACGUGUAGGUUAAUUUGCAGUCAAGAACAAAGCAGUCUUUCAAAUGUUUUUCUGAAUGGUAUGACAACAAAACUAAAAAUAAAUAAAAAGUAGACAAACACUUUGAAUAAUUCUAGUUGGACUCCGGGAAAUAAUCUUUAUUAGUGUGUAUGUCAAUAAGUAUGUUAGUUUUGCUUAAAAGGGUUUUAGUUUUGCUUAAAAGGGUUUAAUCGAUGAUUUUAUAAUGUGAUCUAGUUCACGCUUAAUAGUAAUGUGGAUUAUCUUCCCGCUUUACAGCCUAACUUGACAGUCAUUAAACAUUCACUAUGUAUACACCUACCUUAUUACAUAAUAACGUCAUUGUGUUACUAGCUACAAGCUUUACAUAUUAUCUAAUAUUGAAUUGUAAACUUUGACGAUUAUAGUGUAAUUUUUUAUCUAAUAAUUUAGAUGUUAAAAGAAAACGUCGUCGUUGAAAAUCUUCGAACAUAAUGUAGAAUAUCAUACUUUUAUUUAUUUAUUAAUGAUAUAUACCCCUUAAACCCCUUUAUUCAAAGUAUUGUUUUUCUUACAGAUGUUAAGAGUGCAAAGGGACACAUGGUGUUUUCCUUCUUUUGGCAUAUAUGUAUUCACGCGGUUACUAUGAUUGUGACUCUUUUUUGGCAUAUGUAUAUAUUAUCUAGUCGGCAUGUAUGUCUUCUUUAUUUUCCUUCUCCAAAUUUGGACUCUGAAAAUGACAGAAAAAAAACCAUUCUAAACCCUAAUAACCACAAAGGAGGUCGGACAUGAGCAAUUUGGUUAGGUUAAAAAGACGAAUUGUCCAAAAGACAGAAAGAAGAACUCGGUUUAUCGAGUCAAAGUACAUAAUUUGUGAAGCGAACCAAUAUCAAAGCAUGCAGACUUCUUUUUGUUUGUGUGUGGAAUUUUCUACACGUUUUUUUGACUAAAACCCUUUUGUCUGUCGUUGUCUAUAUAAUUGGACCCAUGAAACAAAUUGUCUAUAUAUAAUUUGACCGACGAAACAGAAAGGGUACUUAGACUUUACACGUAAUUUUUUGAUUUUUAUUAUAAUACAUAAAAUAGUAUAUUAAUUGACUUAUUUUUAGAUAUUUAUAAAAUUUCUGCUUACAAUGGGCUUCAUGAUUCUGCCCUUUUCCUAAAGACUCGAUUCGAACCUCUUGAAUAUUUUGUAAAACAGUAAGAGAGAGAGGAUAGACCAACCCACUAAGCCAAGCGUGUGGAACCAUGACUCAAUCCACUUGGCAGCUUCAGUUUCAUGGAGUGACUUCUAGCAAAAGUACUUUCAACGGCUUACCAGAAGAGAAGCACAGUUAAAAAAAACGACAUUCAAAGAAUAAAAUCUCAACGAUAGCUGACUUUUCCCACUGGGUUGCGACCUAUGAUAGAGUUGAACCAAAUGGGGUGCAGUGCUUGCUUGAAGUUGAAAACACAACAAUUGUCUCAUGCCUUCGAAAAAAAUGCCCUAAAUAUGGAACUGUUGAAUCAAAAGGCUCCGUAUGGAGACCACUCUGGUAUUCUAAUGUGCAUGCCUGCAGUUGAAACAUCCUUGAAUAAACUAAUGCAUGCUCAUUGCUCACAAUUCAUGUUGCGGAAUGACUUCCAUGCAAUCGGAAUGCCACAAAGACGGUAUUUCUAAUUAAUCACGCAUUGUCAUAUAAAAACAAUAAAAGUACAUGACAGUCCAUGAUUAAUUUGAACGGUUUCUGCACAACAUUCCAAACAUAGGCAAGUUUGUUUCUCCAUUUGUUGUUGCAAAGGCUUCUUUGGACCUAUCCAUAAGAUUAACAACAAAAGAGUUAAAACCCAGAAGUGCAAGGUUUGAGCCGUUUCUGUAAUAUCUAUGAAGCAAACCAUUUUUAGGCUGGCAAAUGGUAUUAGUAUUUGGAUUAAUCCCAUUAAUCUUCUGCAAUUUCCUUGUAUCAAAGAAGACAGGAUAGGAAGGUGGCCCGUACUGAUGGGCUUUUUGGAAUUAUAGUAAAAAUUAAAUCCACUGUAUAACUGGCCAAGACUAUCCAACAGCAAAUGUUGUCCUACCUCUGUGUCUCUAAUGGCCUCUUAACCGAAAGAAAAAAAAACUUUAGGAACUUUGACUCUUAUUAUAUUAAUCCAACUGUUAAUCUUUAUCUAAAUGGUUCUAAUCUAAUUAUAUAUGCAAAACUCCGUCUCUGUUUUUUGACCCCUUUCGUAACCUUCAAAAAAGUUUUAAUUCAAGGUUUGAAGAUAAAUAUAGAAAAAGAAACAAACCAACAAUUUUUUUUUUCCUUUUCUUUCAUUUAAAUAAAGGACAAGCUGGUGGUUUUGCUAUGUCACUUUUUGACCAUUAUUGUGUCAGUGCUAAGAAUUGAAACCAGAACAUGCUAUGUGAAAUACAAAUAUAGAAUUCAUCUGAAUCACUGGUCACCCUGUGAUAGUUAACCAACAGUAUACCGACAACUUCUUUGUUUAGCGUUUUGCUCCGGCUUUGAGCCCCUUGUAACCAAAAUUUUAAACAUAUAAUAAAAUAUGUAUGUCAAAUCUUAGUUCUUGAGAAUUUGAAAGUGGAUUUACACCCAUCGCUCACUAUGUUUUUUCUGGCCGGUCAUCACAAAGACAUUCUAGUCCCUCCCAAAAAAAAAACAGAGUGCCCCACUAAAUUCUAAGCUUCUAAACCCCUAUAAAAACCCCUGCACCUCCCCCUCUCAAAAUCCCCAACAAUCUCUCUCAACUCUCUCGCUCUCUCCCUCUCUCUCCUCUCUCCCUCCAUCUCUCUCUCUCUCUCUCUAGAAAAUAACUUACAAAGUUGAUCCUGUAGGAACAUAUAGUAACAAUGUGCAAAGUGACGUCUACUCUCUGCUGCAAUGGCAACUCAGACCACCAUUACCUUGUCUCCAUCAAAGACUCGGAGGACCCCAAAAUCCUAACUUCCCCAUUGAUCUCCAAAACCAUAACAUCCCAACCAGAACAAGUACCGAAGUUACAGUUCAAUCCCCACAAAGAAUCCCAUUUUUCUUUGGCUUUAAAAGAAGCCAAUUCCAUAGCUGUCAUAGCUUUCCCAAUGAUACUUACCGGCCUGUUGCUUUAUUCAAGGUCAAUCAUCUCCAUGCUCUUCCUCGGCCGCCUUGGCGAGCUUGCCUUAGCGGGCGGGUCCCUUGCCGUGGGCUUCGCCAACAUCACCGGUUACUCCAUACUCUCCGGCCUCGCCAUGGGAAUGGAACCCAUCUGUGGCCAAGCUUUUGGCGCCAGAAAACACGCUCUGCUCGGCCUCUCUUUGCAGAGGACGGUCCUCCUCUUACUAUUUACAUCCUUACCCAUUUCUCUUCUCUGGCUGAACAUGAAAAAAAUCCUCCUCAUCUGCGGCCAGGACGAAGCGAUCGCUGCCGAAGCUCAGUUGUACCUCCUCUGUUCUCUCCCUGAUCUUCUCGCUCAAUCUUUUCUCCACCCUCUGAGAAUUUACCUCAGAAGUCAGUCCAUCACUCUGCCUCUCUCAUUGUGUGCAACUCUGGCGAUCAUCCUCCACAUUCCCAUAAACUAUUUUCUCGUUUCGCACCUCGAUUUGGGAAUCAAAGGUGUUGCUCUUAGUGGGGUUUGGACUAACUUCAACCUCGUAGCUUCCCUGAUCGCAUACAUCAUCGUCUAUGGGGUCUACAAAAAAACCUGGGGAGGGAUAUCAAUGGAGUGUUUCAAAGAAUGGAGGACUCUUCUAAAUUUAGCAGUGCCCAGCUGCAUUUCUGUUUGUUUAGAAUGGUGGUGGUAUGAGAUCAUGAUCUUGCUCUGUGGAUUGUUAAUAAAUCCGAGAGCCACCGUUGCUUCAAUGGGAGUUUUAAUUCAAAC
This 18426-nucleotide long non-coding RNA is filed under the name Malus domestica (apple). Its description in RNAcentral is "long non-coding RNA (MDOM_LNC007154)". The record is from RNAcentral. Lineage: Eukaryota; Viridiplantae; Streptophyta; Magnoliopsida; Rosales; Rosaceae.